UACACGUUAUGCUUGACGGUCCUCGCGGACC
Molecule: small RNA, 31 nt
Filed under: Bombyx mori (domestic silkworm)
Lineage: Eukaryota; Metazoa; Arthropoda; Insecta; Lepidoptera; Bombycidae
Description: ovarian small RNA-20223
Source: RNAcentral